CGGCAAUAGACAUAGGUACAAGGGGCAGUCUGCGGAGUGAGUAGUAGUAGAGCAACAGAAGCCUGGUGAAACACGGGCAAAACAGAAGCGCAUAACGUUACAAAUUCAAGGUGGAUGUUAUUUUCCUUUCUUUUGUGAAAACAAAACAUUGAAACGUGGAUAUUGUUAAUUGAAGGAGGUGCGUGGUGUUGGCAAGCAAGUGGACCUCCACCCAACUGCACCUCCAGAACUGUAGAGGCAGUCACUGCACCUGCAGGAUUUGUCUGAUAGAUUUGGCUGAGCCUAGCUGAGUGCUGCAGUGUGUC
This 305-nucleotide long non-coding RNA is filed under the name Oncorhynchus kisutch (coho salmon). RNAcentral describes it as "lncRNA (ENSOKIG00005018855.1)". Lineage: Eukaryota; Metazoa; Chordata; Actinopteri; Salmoniformes; Salmonidae. The record is from RNAcentral.